CAGUCGCCGCGGUAAUACGAAGGGUGCAAGCGUUACUCGGAAUUACUGGGCGUAAAGCGUGCGUAGGUGGUUUGUUAAGUUGGAUGUGAAAUCCCCGGGCUCAACCUGGGAACUGCAUCCAAAACUGGCAAGCUAGAGUAUGGUAGAGGGUGGUGGAAUUUCCUGUGUAGCGGUGAAAUGCGUAGAGAUCUGGAGGAAUACCGAUGGCGAAGGCAGCCAUCUGGCCUAAUACUGACGCUGAGGUACGAAAGCAUGGGGAGCAAACAGGAUUAGAUACCCCCGUAGUCCCUGUCUCUUAUAC
This 301-nucleotide ribosomal RNA is filed under the name uncultured bacterium. Its description in RNAcentral is "partial 16S ribosomal RNA". It matches the Rfam family "Bacterial small subunit ribosomal RNA", at positions 509 to 807 of the family's 1533-position model. The record is from RNAcentral.